CGAUUACAAGAGAUCGUAGGAAUGAACAUUAUUUUUUUAGUCUAAUUCUAUUUAUUACAAACAACAACAUGAAUAUUAUAAAUUUUCGUUUCAAGUAGAAAUCACCGCCAAUAAGUAUAUUAAGUUAGGUAGGUAGUUUAAACAGCUGCAAAAUGCCUGUAGACUGACUAAAACUAACCGAAUAAGCCAAAAGUCGAUCGAUUCUUAUUCACAUCCAUUAAGUUACCCAAUUUAAAAGUAAUAUAUUUGCGUACAUAGAAGCAGUAAAAUGAUUCUAAAAUGUUAAUAUAAGUAUUUGUUUAAGUACUAUUUUUCUGACAAGUAACUUACCUAAUUUUAAAGGAAAGUGGACCAGAACGACAAUUGGACCUGUGGCUGUUCUACGUGAGAUCAAUAUCCAUGUAUUCAACAUUUAAAAGUUUACGAAAUUCCAUACUUACAAGAUAUAAACAUAUUCAUAUAGACGUUUUAUCAAAGAGCAACAGUUAAAUUAUUCGAAAUUGAAAAUAUAAAUGCAUAUACAUCGG
Molecule: long non-coding RNA, 527 nt
Organism: Cydia amplana
Lineage: Eukaryota; Metazoa; Arthropoda; Insecta; Lepidoptera; Tortricidae
Exons: 2
Source: RefSeq, a predicted model, not a curated record